ACCAUCGGGAGCGCAUUAGUGGGAGCAAAGUUACGCGUGAUCGCGGCUUCCGCGCCCGCGCCGGUGCGGGUGUGAAUCGCAUCGAACGUCGUGUGCGUGCUUUCUUGCUAAUUAAUUUAUUCAUAAAUCCGUUGUACUAUGCAGGAUCGUGCUAGUGAAAGGGAAGAACAGUGAAAAACCUCCACGUCCCGAACUUCAGCCAAUUGUGAAAAACAAACUAACGUGUAGUUGCUGUGAACUGGAGAAAUGAAGGAUAAUAUUUUCGUGAAUCAACUAUAUUCAUUAACCGGUACGUGACAGCGUUGUGAGGAUCCAUGGUAUUACAGUUGAGUUACGAAAUCUCAACAAUGUCAACGAGUUAGAAGAGCCUUUACAUUGUGAUUUCGUAACAGUACAAAUUGAUUUGAAAUUUGGACGAUGUGUUACGGUGAAUAAAUACACUAGUUGCAUGUGUAACAGUUUCUGAGGUGGAAUUAAAAAUAUUCUUGAAACUAAUUUUUUUUGGAAAAGUACCGACGGUAUACGCGACCUGAUUGAUCGAGGAUGUAUCAUACAUUUGACCAAGUGAAUAUUUCUCGGAAGAUAAAAUUCAACAGAUAUUUCAAGUGCAGGACACCUUUAUGGUAAACUACUACAAGUACAGAGUAUCUGGUGGCAAUUAUCGCAGUGAUCAUCUCGGGAAUUCGUAUCCAGUAGACAAUCAUCGUUGGUUUGGAAAACAUCUUACGUUAUUUCAGACUAGACAAUGAAGCAGCAGUAAUUUUAAUCGAUUAUCUUCACCCACCAUGGCAAGAUCAGUAGCACGGAGCAAUCGAAAACGAACGGACCAAGUGCCCGUCAAUAGCAAAAAUGGGAUUGUAUUCUUGGACGUGGAUUUUCGUUUUCGGUGGAUUUGGACUACAGAUGACCCUGAUGGGAAAGCGGCUGCAACAAACACCACAUCUCUACUUGGCUAGCUGUAUACAUAACCUCGAAGCAUUGCAAGUUCCGAGGGUCAUUCGGUUGAUCUGAGGAGGGAACCUACUCAUCACUUCAACACGUGAUAUUUGUUUUGUUUUAUUUGAUUUCUUUAUGAAAUAAAAACUGUUAUCUCAAUUCUACUCUGAACAAACGUACUAAUAUUGAGAUAUAUUGUAGGCGAGAUAUGUUCUAUUACAAUUGAAGCAUGUAGGCGGAGGCGGUUGUCCAAACAGUCGAGCUUAGAUUUUCCGUCUUCAAACAAAAAACACUAUCCAUUGCAAAAACAUCAACACCAUCUGAUGGAAGACGGAAAGCGUAAUCCGGACGGUUUGCAACUGCUAUCCUUAACCAUAGACAGAAUAAAGAGAAUGAGAAUCUUUUUCCAAGAAAAAUAUUUAUUACUAUAAGCAUCUCUGAAAGUCUAGUUAAAAAUUUGAAAGUAGUGUAGAGGUGCAACAAAUACGAUUAACUUUACGUACACAGGCAUUUAGUUGCCGUCUUCUCUUCUUAAAUCAAUUCUUUACUAUAAUGAUAAUUUAAAGAGUGGAGACAUUAUCAUUAAACCGUUCACCUAAACACGCAUAUACCCACAGCAGGGAAAAUCAGUACGGUAGACGUGCGGUUUUCAACCAUGCAUUAAAAAUGUCAGAAGCUGAUUGCUUUCGUUGCAUAAAGUUGGCGAGGAACUUUCAUAUACAUAUCUAUAUCACCGUUGAUGCGAGGAAAUUGCUGCUACAUCAAAAGCAAUUAAGGGACUGAGCUCAGAAGAAGCUGCUAGAUGCUGUUGACAAAAAUCAUAACGAUUGCCUCUGUAAUUAUUAGAGAAUAGUAAAAAGUUUUAUUACAAAACAAUAUGAUUCUGAAGCGACAUAAUAUUAGAGAGUUUAUUUGCAUGUUCGUAUAGGGUAAAUACUUGUGCCCCGCAUAGAGUUUAGGAGUCUUGAGAGUGAGCAAAUAUGUAUGAAUAAAAUGUUAGUUUUUGUAAGCCAACGGUAA
Molecule: long non-coding RNA, 1956 nt
Organism: Topomyia yanbarensis
Lineage: Eukaryota; Metazoa; Arthropoda; Insecta; Diptera; Culicidae
Exons: 3
Source: RefSeq, a predicted model, not a curated record